UCUCUUUGGGGCGGGUGCAGGCUUCCUCCUCUCCCCAAGCCCUGAGAAGGGGCUUCUUCAGCCAAGGAAAUGAGGGAGGGGGGAAAGAAAGAAGGUCUCUCUUUCCUUCUUCCCCUUUUCAGAAGGCAGCCAAGAUCCAAAAGGCAUCCCUGGAAUGUUUCCAGCAUCUUCUCUGGUGCCCGGAACAUCUCCAUCAGGAGCGCCAGACCAUCCAUGGCUGGAGGUGCUGGUUCAUGCAGAGGACGAGGACGAAGAGGUUGCUAAGGCGCGAGACCAGCACUGGCCCCACAAGGCCUUGGGGGCCAGGAAGAAGGGGAGUCAAGGGAGGGAGGGAGGGGCCCCUUGCCCUCCUUGUCAGCCUGGCUCAUUCCCUCUUCUUCUUCCUCCUCCUCUUUGAAAGCUGCGAGGGAGACCCUCAGGGAGGUAGCAGAGUUCCUGCGAUGGCACCUGGAGGACAGCGUUCUGGUGAGGGACACCUUCAGCCUGCAGGAGCUGCUCCACAAAAUCUCCAAGCGCCUGAUUCAGCACUGCAGCUCCAGGAGGGAUGUGGAGGAGCAGGUAUAUGGCUGCCUGCCUUUCUUAGAGAGCCCUAUCCCUCGGCAAAAAAAGGUGUACUUCGCAUAUCUCUUCUCUUCCAGCUGCUGCACAUUGGCUGGCAUCCAGACUCCUUGGGAAAGACCUGGAUGCUGCAGACAGCCUGGUUUUCACAUCCUCAUAAUGAUGCCUCAUCAUCAUUAAUUAAUGUGCAGAGGGCUCUCCAAGCAGGUCCAGCCGGGGCCGCCCCCCACAGAUGCCCCUCCAGCCGAGGCCCCUUUGCACGCCUACCUUGGGAUGGCCAUGAGCACGUGGCUCAGAGUAAGGCCACACUCCCUUGGGAGCCCUCCCCUCCCAUUGCCUUUGUGGCCCCGGAGCCAGCCCUGCUCUGGCAGUGUGGCCCCCUUCAUUGACUCCCACCACUUUCACAGAAGGCUGGGACCAGGCACACACAAUUCCGCCACAUGAGCCCCAGAAACACAGAGGAGGUUUCUGUGGAUCUUCCAAGCCAACGAAAAGGGGAUCCUCUGGGUGAGGUUCACCAGUCGCUUCUGGCAGGAUGAAAUACAUGGAAAACCCAGAGGAAGGAGCCAUGGAUUGUGUGGGAGAAGAAGGCCAUCCUGGAGGGAACCUGGACCCAAACCAUGGAGGGCUUUUAAAGUCAAAACCAACACCUUGUACUUUGCCCGGAAACUCAUUGGCAGCCGGUGGAGUGAUUUUAUUGAAGAUGUAAUCAGCUCACUCCUGGAUGUUUCUGUUUAAGAACUUGGUACAAAGUCAGAUCAAUGUGAAGCAUAUUGCAGAAGUCCAACCUUGAGGCAACCACCAUCUUUAGGUAUGCCAGACCUAGGAAGGGUGCGGCUGGCGCAUCAGUUGAAGCUGAUAAUAGGCCCCCCUGACAAUUGUUGCAUCAACUUGGGCUGACAUUUGGAGAGAUGCAUCCAGGAGCCUUUGUCCCAACCUGCAGACCCUUUUACGGGAAGUGCAACCCCAUACAGAAAUGGCUGAUGCACUUCCAUCCCCAGAUGAGAGCACUUGAUGGCAAGCAUCUCUGUCCUGUCUGGAUUCAGUCUCUAUUGGUUUUUCCUCAUCUAGCCCUUCGGAGCCUCCAAUGGCCUAGGGGAUAAAAGCCUUGUCACUUGAAGGUUGGGUUGCUGACCUGAAAGCUGCCAGGUUCGAAUCCCACCUGGGGAGAACGUGGAUGAGCUCCCUCUAUCAGCUCCAGCUCCAUACAGGGACAUGAGAGAAGCCUCCCACAAGGCUGGUAAAACAUCAAAACAUCCGGGCGUCCCCUGGGCAACGUCCUUGCAGACGGCCAAUUCUCUCACUCCAGAAGCAACUCCGGUUGCUCCUGACACGGAAAAAAAAAUCUAGCCCAUUGCCUUCUCUAGGCAUUUGUUCAGGAAAGGCACACUCUGCUUAGCUGAGGCUGUUUUUGAAGGCAUGGAAAAAUAUAUUUGUGUUUCACAAGCAUACAAAUAGCACCCUGCAUCCCAUGCCUCCAGAGGAUCUUUCACAGCAAUUUCAUGUAAAUAUUUAAAAAGUAUUGGGGAUAAAAUGGCCCUGUGCUGGUACAGCUGUACCAGAACCUUCUACUUUACUUUAUUGCUGCAAAUGUUUGCAUUCAUAGGACAGGCCACCUGUCAAUCACCAUUAAGUUUGGUCCCGCCCCUUGUUCAGGGCUCUGGGAGGAAAGGAGCCGUUUUUAAGUUAGUCUUACUUAUGAUUCUCAGCUAUAGGACGUAGACCAGCUCGUCCCGUAAAAAGCUUCAUAUUCCAAGACCACCGGGGAUAAAGAGCACCAGGGCUAAAGAGUAACAGGGAUAAAGACCACCGGGGAUAAAGAGCACCAGGGUUAAAGAACACUAGGGAUAUUGACUGUCAGAGGAUACAGAACAACAGCACAGAAACAUCUGAAAGCCAUUGGCUGGUAGGUCCACUCAACAACCAGACGCACUUGGAGUUGGCAGUGGGUCCCAGACUAGCUAGGCCCAGAUAACAGAUAGCCUGGGAGGGGUUAUAAGAGGGUUUUCACAGUUAUUCAAAGCCAAUCGCCUGUCCUGUGGGACAAGACUCCUUGAAGAUUUAUUAUUUGUUCGUCAAUAAAGACUUCGUUAUUUCUUUAAAGACUUCAAGGCCAUCUUUUCAGGAAAAUUCCUCAACGACCCUUCUUUAGGCACCCUGGCUUCCCGCUGGCCGUAAAGCGUACGUCCUAUAUAAUAGACAAUCAGUCACAGGCCCAGCGCGUGACAGAACAGGCCCCUUGUGGGAUGAUGCCAUAGGAUAGCUCCUUUUGGGGGGAGCAGCUCAGUCUGCUCUGAAGCCAGUUUGAAAUGGAUCAAGAAGUCUGUGUCCUCCAAGUCUGCCUGGAAUUGGAGGGCAACUGCCUUUUCAAUCAUUUUUCCCAAAAAAAGGAAGCUUAGAAACUGGUCUGUGACUGUUAAGACCCAGUCGACCCAGACAGGGCCUUUUUAGCAGCGCUCAGCUGUGUGUGUAUUCCCCGAAAAUAAGACUGGGUCUGAUAUUAAUUGUUGCUCCAAAAUAUGCAUUAGACUUAUUUUCAGGAGGUAUCUUGUUUUUUCAUUUACAAAAAUCUACACAUGAGAAUAUGUUUAUGCCUUUUCAGGAGUUUGCGUGGGCUUUUUUAAAAACAUGAUAGUCUUUUUUAAAAGACCAACAAAAUUUGAAACUAAAUUUUGUAAAACAAGUCCAAGGUCCUCUCUAUGGGAUUGUCAUUCUUUCCCCUUCAAUAUCCACUCAUGGCUUCCAACCUGUAUUCCCAGAACCAGGUCCUCCAUUGUCUUUCCUUCUCCUUUUACACCUCAGCCUUCCUGAGAUGUGUAUGCCAUAAACAAAGGGGCCCUGUUAUGGGGCCCCAUCCAGAGGCCCUUCCUUCUGCCUCGGUCCCUUCAUGAGGGACAAUGUGGCCACUGACUGGAGGCGGGAUUCCUAGCCAAGGCUCCUUCCUUGAGGGAUGAUGGUUCACACCCCAAGUUCAACACAAAUCAUUCAUUUUGUAAUUCCUGUAAUUAUAUUUCAAAUGCAUCUAUGUUGUUUUAAGCUGCAUUGUGAUUAAUUUUGUUAGCAGUCUUGAGUGAAAAUCAGGUAAAUAAAUACAUAAGCAAACAAACCA
Anolis carolinensis (green anole) is the source of this 3667-nucleotide RNA transcript. RefSeq lists it as uncharacterized. The transcript has 3 exons. NCBI's taxonomy places the organism in Eukaryota, Metazoa, Chordata, Lepidosauria, Squamata, Anolidae. The record is from RefSeq and is a predicted model, not a curated record.